CCAGAUACCAAGAGUUAUAGGAGUAUUUUUGUAGAUGCAAAAGUGCUGGUGUACAUAAAAAAGAAGGAUGUGGUACGUGUGUGUAAUUACAGCUUCCAGACCCAGACUGAUCAUCAGUCUGGGUCUCCUCUGUGGCAAGGACACUAAACACGAUCAUUUCAAAUGCCUGGACUAAACUUCUCGCUGUAAUUAUUCUUGGUUGCACAGACAUGUUCAAUGUUCAGUGUCUCCCUUUCAGAUCAGUGUUUGCCUCCCUCUAGCUGAGGCACGCCUCACUGCAGAGACAUUACACAUUUUUGUACACCAAAAUAUAUUAGACAUUACCUCGGUAACCAUAGGGGAGCGAGCCCCCUUUCAUUU
This is a long non-coding RNA of Etheostoma cragini (Arkansas darter), 360 nucleotides long. RefSeq lists it as uncharacterized. The transcript is spliced from 3 exons. NCBI's taxonomy places the organism in Eukaryota, Metazoa, Chordata, Actinopteri, Perciformes, Percidae. The record is from RefSeq and is a predicted model, not a curated record.